UUGGAGGAAUGUAUAGCGAAAGCUACUUGCAUUUAGCUUAGUUAAAGCUAAGUUUAUGCAGGAUUGACUAUGUCGAAUAAAGUUCUAGGUGGGUUAUGAUGAUGACAUUUCCUAUCUAUGUGUCUUGACCAAAUUACGUGCCAGCAGUCGCGGUAACACGUAAUAGACUAGUGUUAUUCAUCUUUAAUAGGUUUAAAGGGUACCUAGACGGUAAAUCAAGUCCAAGAAGGGUACUAAUUUGCUAGAGUUUAAUGUGAGGGGGCACUAAAGUACUGAUAAGUGUAGAGAUGAAAUUCUGUGAUACAAUAUAUGGCACUGGCAAAGGCGAAAGCAUCUCAUUAUGUAAUAACUGACGUUGAGGGACGAAGGCUAGGUGUAGCAAAAAGGAUUAGAUACCCAAGUAGUCUUAGCAGAAAAUUAUGAAUGUCAUAGGAUGGAAAGUUGGAUGGAUAAACAACAAAACUUUUUUCUAUAAAUGAAAGUGUAAGCAUUCCACCUCGAGAGUAAUUUGGCAACAUUGGAACUGAAAUCAUUAGACCGUUUCUGAAACAAGUAGUGAAGUAUGUUGUUUAAUUUGAUGGUCCGCAAAAAACCUUACCACAAUUUGAAUAGAAAUUUUUGUUUCAUACAAGCGCUGCACGGUUGUCUUCAGUUAAUGUCGUGAGAUCUUGGUUAGUUCCAUUAAAUUAACGUAAACCCUUACUUUAUUUUGAUAUAGAGUAGUUCACCGCUAGAUUGGAUGUGAUAACAGGGACUAAGACAAGUCAUCAUGGCCUUAAUAUUGUGGG
This 788-nucleotide ribosomal RNA is filed under the name Anaptychia runcinata. RNAcentral describes it as "SSU rRNA". It matches the Rfam family "Bacterial small subunit ribosomal RNA", at positions 1 to 1213 of the family's 1533-position model. The record is from RNAcentral. Lineage: Eukaryota; Fungi; Ascomycota; Lecanoromycetes; Caliciales; Physciaceae.